AUGCUGCUGCCCGCGCACUUCAAGCACUCCAACUUCUCCAGCUUCCGCAAGGUGGACCCGGACCCCUGGGAGCUCGCGCACGCCUCCUUCCUCCGUGGCCAGACGCACCUCCUCCCCCGCAUCGUCCGGCGGAGCGGCGGCGGCAGCAGGCGCGCGAAGGAGGACGGCGAUGAGGAGGAAGGCAUCAGCAGUACGGCGCUGGCCAUGGAGGUGGUUCGGCUGAGGAAUGAGCAGAGGGCCACCGAGGAGCGCGUGGCGGCGAUGUGGCGCCGGGUGCAGGACGCCGAGCGCCGGCCCAAGCUGAUGCUCGCCUUCCUCCUCAAGGUCGUCGGAGACCCCGACGCGCUGCACCGCCUCGUAGGAAACUUGAGUAGCGACGACGGAUUAAUCCCAGCCGAGGGCGCGGAGGCCAAGAGGCCGCGGCUGCUUCUUAAUAGGGAAGUCCAGGUGGGCGAGCAGAUGCACGUCGACGGCGAAGGGCAGUUGUACGGCAUCAGCCUGCAGAAGGCCUUCAUUCGGGAAUCCCCGGUCGACUUCACCGGGUUCUACACCGGAGGCGACGGGUUCAGCGAUGUGCCGACGGACGACCCGCCGUACGCUUUCACCGUGGACGGCAGCUACUGA
RNAcentral lists this ribosomal RNA (624 nucleotides) under Triticum aestivum (bread wheat). Its description in RNAcentral is "partial small subunit ribosomal RNA". The record is from RNAcentral. Lineage: Eukaryota; Viridiplantae; Streptophyta; Magnoliopsida; Poales; Poaceae.